This 680-nucleotide long non-coding RNA is filed under the name Pan troglodytes (chimpanzee). RNAcentral describes it as "lincRNA". Lineage: Eukaryota; Metazoa; Chordata; Mammalia; Primates; Hominidae. The record is from RNAcentral.
CACUCAGCUUUCUGAAAUGGUGUCCCACCGCAAGGACUGGAGAAGGGGUCUUCCUCUGCCACCCAGGCUGGAGUGUGCAGCAGCAUGACCAUGGCUCACUGCAGCUUCAACCUCUCAGGAUUAGGUAAACCUCAGGUUCUCCUCCUGCCUUUUGCUAAGUAUAUGUCUUGAUGACAAGCCUUCUGCUGAUGAGCUGUGUUUCUGGACCGAUCAUGGUAGAAGUCAAUUAACGUGUCCCUCACUUGGGGUUUCUCAAGGGAGUCUCACUCUGUCGUCCAGGCUGGAGUGCAGUGGCACAAUCUCGGCUCACUGCAAGCUCCGCCUCCCAGGUUCACGCCAUUCUCCUGCCUCAGUCUCCCAAGUAGCUGCACUGAUGAGGAAACUGAAACAGAAAAUCCAGAGUAAAUUCCACCAGGCCACACAGCAAGGUCUGAUAGAGCCAGGAGAGACUUUAUGAAAUCCAGACUCUCACACUAAUGCUCUAUCAGCUAGACCUCCAUGUGAGUCUCCCCAAUGUAGGUAGGAAGUGCUUUCCCUAAAAUGCUCAUAAAGCAAAUCAGAGCAAUGCUGCAUUCCAUGUGAUUUCUAAUUUGAAAUGCAAACAAUUGCCAAUUUGUUUGACUUGUAUUUAUAAUUAUUUCCUUGUGAAUUACUCAUCACUAAAUGCUUUAUAAAUAUUU